UACGUAGGGUGCGAGCGUUGUCCGGAAUUAUUGGGCGUAAAGAGCUCGUAGGCGGUGUGUCACGUCGGCCGUGAAAACCUGCAGCUUAACUGUGGGCUUGCGGUCGAUACGGGCAUCACUGGAGUUCGGCAGGAGAGACUGGAAUUCCUGGUGUAGCGGUGAAAUGCGCAGAUAUCAGGAGGAACACCGGUGGCGAAGGCGGGUCUCUGGGCCGUAACUGACGCUGAGGAGCGAAAGCAUGGGGAGCGAACAGG
RNAcentral lists this ribosomal RNA (254 nucleotides) under uncultured bacterium. RNAcentral describes it as "partial 16S ribosomal RNA". It matches the Rfam family "Bacterial small subunit ribosomal RNA", at positions 524 to 776 of the family's 1533-position model. The record is from RNAcentral.